Chiloscyllium plagiosum (whitespotted bambooshark) is the source of this 338-nucleotide non-coding RNA. The record is from RefSeq and is a predicted model, not a curated record. Lineage: Eukaryota; Metazoa; Chordata; Chondrichthyes; Orectolobiformes; Hemiscylliidae.
GUGAAGGAUUGGCAGUGUAUUUCCAAGUUGGGAUGAUGAGAGGUUGAAUGUAAUUUUUGCGAAAUUUGAUGAGGUUCAGAAAUCUGGAAAUAUGAUUUUGUCUUCAGCAGCUGAUAAGAAUUUUGAUGAAGAUGAUUCGGUGGAUGGAAAUAGGCCAUCUUCUGCUAGCUCCACGUCUUCAAAAGCUCCCAGUUCACGGCGUAUGGUUGGUACCAGUCGUAGACCAGGAUCAUCUGCAGUUGGCUUGAGGACUGGUACAGGUAACAAUAUCUGAUAUACAUUCAUCUGAUGUAUAAAUUGCUAUGUGUUUUUACAUUGUUUACCCUGUUUUCACUUCA